AGAGUUUGAUCCUGGCUCAGGACGAACGCUGGCGGCGUGCUUAACACAUGCAAGUGGAGCGACGAACCAGGGCUUGCCCUGGGGCAGAGCCGCGAACGGGUGAGUAACACGUGGGUUACCUGCCUCGAUGACUGGGACAACCCGAGGAAACUCGGGCUAAUACCGGAUGUGCCCGCAAGGGGAAAGGAAGCUUCGGCCUCCGCAUCGAGAUGGGCCCGCGGCCCAUUAGCUUGUUGGUGAGGUAACGGCUCACCAAGGCUUCGAUGGGUAGCUGGUCUGAGAGGACGAUCAGCCACACUGGGACUGAGACACGGCCCAGACUCCUACGGGAGGCAGCAGUGGGGAAUCUUGCGCAAUGCGCGAAAGCGUGACGCAGCAACGCCGCGUGGGGGAAGAAGGCUUUCGGGUUGUAAACCCCUUUCAGUUGGGACGAAGCUUCGCCGAUGAAUAGUCGGCCGGAGUGACGGUACCUUCACAAGAAGCACCGGCUAACUACGUGCCAGCAGCCGCGGUAAUACGUAGGGUGCAAGCGUUGUCCGGAAUUAUUGGGCGUAAAGAGCGUGUAGGCGGCCCGAUUAGUCCGCUGUGAAAGUCCAGGGCUCAACCCUGGAAUGCCGGUGGAUACUGUCGGGCUAGAGUCCGGAAGGGGCGAGUGGAAUUCCUGGUGUAGCGGUGAAAUGCGCAGAUAUCAGGAGGAACACCAAUGGCGAAGGCAGCUCGCUGGGACGUGACUGACGCUGAGACGCGAAAGCGUGGGGAGCAAACAGGAUUAGAUACCCUAGUAGUCC
This 788-nucleotide ribosomal RNA is filed under the name uncultured bacterium. Its description in RNAcentral is "bacterial SSU rRNA". It matches the Rfam family "Bacterial small subunit ribosomal RNA", at positions 8 to 796 of the family's 1533-position model. The record is from RNAcentral.